This 253-nucleotide ribosomal RNA is filed under the name uncultured bacterium. RNAcentral describes it as "partial 16S ribosomal RNA". It matches the Rfam family "Bacterial small subunit ribosomal RNA", at positions 524 to 776 of the family's 1533-position model. The record is from RNAcentral.
UACGAAGGGGGCUAGCGUUGUUCGGAAUCACUGGGCGUAAAGCGUACGUAGGCGGAUCGUUAAGUCAGGGGUGAAAGCCUGGAGCUCAACUCCAGAACUGCCUUUGAUACUGGCGAUCUUGAAACCGGGAGAGGUGAGUGGAACUGCUAGUGUAGAGGUGAAAUUCGUAGAUAUUAGCAAGAACACCAGUGGCGAAGGCGGCUCACUGGCCCGGUACUGACGCUGAGGUACGAAAGCGUGGGGAGCAAACAGG